Pelobates cultripes (western spadefoot toad) is the source of this 279-nucleotide non-coding RNA. The record is from the annotation of a GenBank genome assembly. NCBI's taxonomy places the organism in Eukaryota, Metazoa, Chordata, Amphibia, Anura, Pelobatidae.
CCUAUAUAUGUUUCACUCUACUAGAAUUGUAUUUAUGAAGCCUGUAAUACAAGAAUCAAUUAAUGCACAGUGUAACAAGAUGCCUGAAAUGCCUUGAAAUUCCAUAUACAUGCAAACACUAGUAGUUUAACCUGCAUUGUUAUCUCACGUAAUAUAUAAAAAGAGGAUGUUCCAUGCUGGUGUUUAAAUACCUUGUAUAUCAUUUGUUAAUAUGCUCUAAUUCCCUGUUUACUUGCCUAAUAUUGAAUACCUGCAUUGCACAAGUUGAUACUAAACCAC